RNAcentral lists this ribosomal RNA (437 nucleotides) under uncultured Pantoea sp. RNAcentral describes it as "bacterial SSU rRNA". It matches the Rfam family "Bacterial small subunit ribosomal RNA", at positions 505 to 944 of the family's 1533-position model. The record is from RNAcentral. Lineage: Bacteria; Pseudomonadati; Pseudomonadota; Gammaproteobacteria; Enterobacterales; Erwiniaceae.
GUGCCAGCAGCGGCGGUAAUACGGAGGGUGCAAGCGUUAAUCGGAAUUACUGGGCGUAAAGCGCACGCAGGCGGUCUGUCAAGUCGGAUGUGAAAUCCCCGGGCUCAACCCGGGAACUGCAUUCGAAACUGGCAGGCUUGAGUCUCGUAGAGGGGUAGAAUUCCAGGUGUAGCGGUGAAAUGCGUAGAGAUCUGGAGGAAUACCGGUGGCGAAGGCGGCCCCCUGGACAAAGACUGACGCUCAGGUGCGAAAGCGUGGGGAGCAAACAGGAUUAGAUACCCUGGUAGUCCACGCUGUAAACGAUGUCGACUUGGAGUUGUGCCCUUGAGGCGUGGCUUCCGGAGCUAACGCGUUAAGUCGACCGCCUGGGGAGUACGGCCGCAAGGUUAAAAACUCAAAAUGAAUUGACGGGGCCCGCACAAGCGGUGAGCAUGUGG